RNAcentral lists this ribosomal RNA (467 nucleotides) under uncultured bacterium. RNAcentral describes it as "partial 16S ribosomal RNA". It matches the Rfam family "Bacterial small subunit ribosomal RNA", at positions 28 to 507 of the family's 1533-position model. The record is from RNAcentral.
GAUGAACGCUGGCGGCGUGCUUAACACAUGCAAGUCGAACGGAAAGGCCAGUGCUUGCACUGGUGCUCGAGUGGCGAACGGGUGAGUAACACGUGGGUGAUCUGCCCUGCACUUUGGGAUAAGCCUGGGAAACUGGGUCUAAUACCAGAUAGGACCAUGCUUUGGAUGGUGUGGUGGAAAGUUUUUUCGGUGUGGGAUGAGCUUGCGGCCUAUCAGCUUGUUGGUGGGGUAAUGGCCUACCAAGGCGUCGACGGGUAGCCGGCCUGAGAGGGUGUACGGCCACAUUGGGACUGAGAUACGGCCCAGACUCCUACGGGGGGCAGCAGUGGGGAAUAUUGCACAAUGGGCGCGAGCCUGAUGCAGCGACGCCGCGUGGGGGAUGACGGCCUUCGGGUUGUAAACUCCUUUCGCACCUGAAGAAGCUUUUUGUGACGGUAGGUUGAGAAGAAGCACCGGCUAACUACGUG